Molecule: ribosomal RNA, 159 nt
Filed under: Vannella septentrionalis
Lineage: Eukaryota; Discosea; Flabellinia; Vannellidae
Description: partial 18S ribosomal RNA
Rfam family: Eukaryotic small subunit ribosomal RNA
Source: RNAcentral
GCUACCGAUUGRAURRUCCGGUGAAMUCCUCGGAUAGCGAAGAAUCUUCUAACUCGCAAGAGUUGGAAAUCAUUGCUAGAAGUUGAUUAAACCUUAUCAUCUAGAGGAAGCAAAAGUCGUAACAAGGUUUCCGUAGGUGAACCUGCGGRAGGAUCAUUA